Molecule: ribosomal RNA, 961 nt
Filed under: Nakazawaea sp.
Lineage: Eukaryota; Fungi; Ascomycota; Pichiomycetes; Alaninales; Pachysolenaceae
Description: SSU rRNA
Rfam family: Eukaryotic small subunit ribosomal RNA
Source: RNAcentral
UGCGAAUGGCUCAUUAAAUCAGUUAUCGUUUAUUUGAUAGUACCUUUACUACUAGGUCAUAACCGUGGUAAUUCUAGAGCUAAUACUUGCUAACAAUCCCGACUUCUGGAAGGGAUGUAUUUAUUAGAUAAAAAAUCAAUGCCUUCGGGCUCUUUGAUGAUUCAUAAUAACUUUUCGAAUCGCAUGGCUUUUUGCCGGCGAUGGUUCAUUCAAAUUUCUGCCCUAUCAACUUUCGAUGGUAGGAUAGUGGCCUACCAUGGUUUCAACGGGUAACGGGGAAUAAGGGUUCGAUUCCGGAGAGGGAGCCUGAGAAACGGCUACCACAUCCAAGGAAGGCAGCAGGCGCGCAAAUUACCCAAUCCUAAUUCAGGGAGGUAGUGACAAUAAAUAACGAUACAGGGCCCAUACGGGUCUUGUAAUUGGAAUGAGUACAAUUUAAAUACCUUAACGAGGAACAAUUGGAGGGCAAGUCUGGUGCCAGCAGCCGCGGUAAUUCCAGCUCCAAUAGCGUAUAUUAAAGUUGUUGCAGUUAAAAAGCUCGUAGUUGAACCUUGGGCUUGGUUGGCCGGUCCGCCUUACGGUGAGUACUGGACCCAACCGAGCCUUUCCUUCUGGGAAACCUUCUGCCCUUUUUGGGUGGUUGGGGAACCAGGACUUUUACUUUGAAAAAAUUAGAGUGUUCAAAGCAGGCCUUUGCUCGAUAUAUAGCAUGGAUAUAGAAUAGGACGUUAUGGUUCUAUUUUGUUGGUUUCUAGGACCAUCGUAAUGAUUAAUAGGGACGGUCGGGGGCAUCAGUAUUCAAUUGUCAGAGGUGAAAUUCUUGGAUUUAUUGAAGACUAACUACUGCGAAAGCAUUUGCCAAGGACGUUUUCAUUAAUCAAGAACGAAAGUUAGGGGAUCGAAGAUGAUCAGAUACCGUCGUAGUCUUAACCAUAAACUAUGCCGACUAGGGAUCGGGUGU